UGCAGUCGAACGGUAAGGCCCUUCGGGGUACACGAGUGGCGAACGGGUGAGUAACACGUGGGUAAUCUGCCCUGCACUUCGGGAUAAGCCUGGGAAACUGGGUCUAAUACCGGAUAUGAGCUCCUGCCGCAUGGUGGGGGUUGGAAAGUUUUUCGGUGCAGGAUGAGUCCGCGGCCUAUCAGCUUGUUGGUGGGGUAAUGGCCUACCAAGGCGACGACGGGUAGCCGGCCUGAGAGGGUGAUCGGCCACACUGGGACUGAGACACGGCCCAGACUCCUACGGGAGGCAGCAGUGGGGAAUAUUGCACAAUGGGCGGAAGCCUGAUGCAGCGACGCCGCGUGGGGGAUGACGGUCUUCGGAUUGUAAACUCCUUUCAGUAGGGACGAAGCGAGAGUGACGGUACCUGCAGAAGAAGCACCGGCCAACUACGUGCCAGCAGCCGCGGUAAUACGUAGGGUGCAAGCGUUGUCCGGAAUUACUGGGCGUAAAGAGCUCGUAGGCGGUUUGUCACGUCGUCUGUGAAAUCCUCCAGCUCAACUGGGGGGCGUGCAGGCGAUACGGGCAGACUUGAGUACUACAGGGGAGACUGGAAUUCCUGGUGUAGCGGUGAAAUGCGCAGAUAUCAGGAGGGACACCGGUGGCGAAGGCGGGUCUCUGGGUAGUAACUGACG
Molecule: ribosomal RNA, 671 nt
Filed under: bacterium SL5.13
Lineage: Bacteria
Description: bacterial SSU rRNA
Rfam family: Bacterial small subunit ribosomal RNA
Source: RNAcentral